Molecule: long non-coding RNA, 687 nt
Organism: Gasterosteus aculeatus aculeatus (three-spined stickleback)
Lineage: Eukaryota; Metazoa; Chordata; Actinopteri; Perciformes; Gasterosteidae
Source: Ensembl
UGCGGAGGUGUUCCGUGCCCCCUAGACACCGCCGCCGACUGCGGAGGUGUUCCGUGUCCCCGGGCCGCCCACUACUGCGGAGGUGUUCCGUGUCCCCGAGCCGGGCCGACCCCCGGUCCGGGCCAGUACCGGUCCGGGCGACUGCGGAGGGGUUCCUUCCCCCCGAGCCGCCGCCGACUGCGGAGGGGUUCCGUGCCCCCGAGCCCCCGCAGCCGACUGCGGAGGUGUUCCGUGUCCCCGAGCUGCCGCCGCCGACUGCGGAGGUGUUCAGUGUCCCCGGGCCGCCGACUACUGCGCAGUCUUUUAGUGAACCUGAUUUGGCCGACGAUCUACAUGCUGUUCUGGACCUUCCUCUUGGUCUUCUCCGCGUACUCCGAGCCUGUCGUCUCCUGUACUGGUGUGGCUGUCAUGUUGACUGGUGUCCCUGUAUAUUUCCUGGGAGUACUCGGAAAACAAGCCCAAGUGUUGUGAUAUUACCAUUGGUAAAAUUACUCAUUUGUCCCAAAAGCUGUGUUCGGUGGUCCAGCCGGAGGAGAGAUGGGAGCCCUGCGAGCCACAAAACAAAGACUGAGACCACAACAAUGAUAAUGAAGAAGACCGAUUGAAACAUGCAUAAUCAAACACUCACUAUGAUGCUCACUUUGGGCUUAAAGAAAAAAAAGUGGUACCUGGGGAAGUGAGAGAAAU